RNAcentral lists this ribosomal RNA (403 nucleotides) under uncultured bacterium. RNAcentral's name for it is "partial 16S ribosomal RNA". It matches the Rfam family "Bacterial small subunit ribosomal RNA", at positions 30 to 526 of the family's 1533-position model. The record is from RNAcentral.
AUUGAACGCUGGCGGCAGGCCUAACACAUGCAAGUCGAGCGAGCGGCGGACGGGUGAGUAAUGUAUGGGGACUGCCCGUUAGAGGGGGAUCACUACUGGAAACGGUAGCUAAUACCGCAUACUAUCGGAUAACCCAUAUGGGAUUAGCUAGUAGGUGAGUUAAUGGCCAACCUAGGCGACGAUCCCUAGCUGGUCUGAGAGGAUGAUCAGCCACACUGGGACUGAGACACGGCCCAGACUCCUACGGAGGCAGCAGUGGGGAAUAUUGCACAAUGGGCGCAAGCCUGAUGCAGCCAUGCCGCGUGUAUGAAGAAGGCCUUAGGGUUGUAAAGUACUUUCAGUAGGGAGGCGGUACCGACAGAAGAAGCACCGGCUAACUCCGUGCCAGCAGCCGCGGUAAUUC